GUGGUUUAAUUCGAAGCAACGCGAAGAACCUUACCAGGUCUUGACAUCCUCUGACAACCCUAGAGAUAGGGCUUUCCCCUUCGGGGGACAGAGUGACAGGUGGUGCAUGGUUGUCGUCAGCUCGUGUCGUGAGAUGUUGGGUUAAGUCCCGCAACGAGCGCAACCCUUGAUCUUAGUUGCCAGCAUUCAGUUGGGCACUCUAAGAUGACUGCCGGUGACAAACCGGAGGAAGGUGGGGAUGACGUCAAAUCAUCAUGCCCCUUAUGACCUGGGCUACACACGUGCUACAAUGGACGGUACAAAGGGCUGCAAGACCGCGAGGUUUAGCCAAUCCCAUAAAACCGUUCUCAGUUCGGAUUGUAGGCUGCAACUCGCCUACAUGAAGCUGGAAUCGCUAGUAAUCGCGGAUCAGCAUGCCGCGGUGAAUACGUUCCCGGGCCUUGUACACACCGCCCGUCACACC
This 463-nucleotide ribosomal RNA is filed under the name Bacillus sp. (in: firmicutes). RNAcentral's name for it is "bacterial SSU rRNA". It matches the Rfam family "Bacterial small subunit ribosomal RNA", at positions 941 to 1403 of the family's 1533-position model. The record is from RNAcentral. Lineage: Bacteria; Bacillati; Bacillota; Bacilli; Caryophanales; Bacillaceae.